This 433-nucleotide ribosomal RNA is filed under the name uncultured bacterium. Its description in RNAcentral is "partial 16S ribosomal RNA". It matches the Rfam family "Bacterial small subunit ribosomal RNA", at positions 29 to 507 of the family's 1533-position model. The record is from RNAcentral.
AGCGAACGCUGGCGGCAGGCUUAACACAUGCAAGUCGAGCGGGCCUUUCGGGGUCAGCGGCGGACGGGUGAGUAACGCGUGGGAACGUGCCCUCUGGUUCGGAAUAACUCAGGGAAACUUGAGCUAAUACCGGAUACGCCCUUUUGGGGAAAGGCUUGCUGCCGGAGGAUCGGCCCGCGUCUGAUUAGCUAGUUGGUGAGGUGACGGCUCACCAAGGCGACGAUCAGUAGCUGGUCUGAGAGGAUGAUCAGCCACACUGGGACUGAGACACGGCCCAGACUCCUACGGGAGGCAGCAGUGGGGAAUAUUGGACAAUGGGCGCAAGCCUGAUCCAGCCAUGCCGCGUGAGUGAUGAAGGCCUUAGGGUUGUAAAGCUCUUUUAUCCGGGACGAUAAUGACGGUACCGGAGGAAUAAGCCCCGGCUAACUUCGUG